RNAcentral lists this ribosomal RNA (774 nucleotides) under uncultured Neocallimastigales. RNAcentral describes it as "partial large subunit ribosomal RNA". It matches the Rfam family "Eukaryotic large subunit ribosomal RNA", at positions 24 to 649 of the family's 3401-position model. The record is from RNAcentral. Lineage: Eukaryota; Fungi; Neocallimastigomycota; Neocallimastigomycetes; Neocallimastigales.
UAUGUGAUCGUCUCUCGCAUAUCAAUAAGCGGAGGAAAAGAAACUAACAAGGAUUCCCCUAGUAACGGCGAGUGAAGCGGGAAGAGCUCAAAUUUGAAAUCUUAAAGGGUUUCCCUUUACGAAUUGUAGUUUAAAGAAGUGUUUUCUGUUGAGGUUUUGGUAAAAGUUCUUUGGAAUAGGACAUCAUAGAGGGUGAGAAUCCCGUAUUUGACCUUUACUUUCAACUUUGUGAUACACUUUCAAAGAGUCGGAUUGUUUGGGAAUGCAGUCCAAAAUGGGUGGUAAAUUUCAUCUAAAGCUAAAUAUUGGCGAGAGACCGAUAGCGAACAAGUACCGUGAGGGAAAGAUGAAAAGAACUUUGAAAAGAGAGUUAAACAGUACGUGAAAUUGUCAAAAGGGAAGCGUUUGACACCAGUGUUGUUUUUCUGAAAAUCAAUUAAAGAACUGUUUAUGCUAAGUUGUUUAGACUUUAUCAGCUAACUGUUUAGUUUUGAGCUUUUCUUUAAUGCACUUUUCAGUUAACAAGUCAACAUCAAUUUCUUUUGCUGUAAAAAAGCUAGAGGAAGGUGGCUUGAGAUUCGUCUUAAGUGUUUAUAGCCUCUUGCCUAUGCAGUCGGAGAGAUUGAGGUCUGCAGCGUAGAUCCUUCGGGGCUAAAUGCAUUUGUGCUAAGUUAUAGCAUUUUAUAGACAACUUGUUGACUAUGAUUUGUCUUGUAGCUUACUCGCUUAUGUUAUUUUACCUACGCUUAGGAUGUUGAGUAGCGACAUACGCAC